RNAcentral lists this microRNA precursor (106 nucleotides) under Petromyzon marinus (sea lamprey). RNAcentral's name for it is "microRNA pma-mir-4587 precursor". The record is from miRBase by way of RNAcentral. Lineage: Eukaryota; Metazoa; Chordata; Hyperoartia; Petromyzontiformes; Petromyzontidae.
UUUCAUCGCCAGCGAGCGCCCGCUUCACACAACACACACACACCCACAUCUAUAAUAUCUCUAUAACCCGCUGUGUUUGUGAUGGGCCAGCGCGUUGUCGUUGCUG